CCGACCUUGGCUCAGUUGGUAGAGCGGAGGACUGCAGUGGUGCAGAGUAAUCCUUAGGUCGCUGGUUUGAAUCCGGCAGGUCUGA
This 85-nucleotide transfer RNA is filed under the name Amborella trichopoda. It matches the Rfam family "tRNA". Rfam says of the family: Transfer RNA (tRNA) molecules are approximately 80 nucleotides in length. Their secondary structure includes four short double-helical elements and three loops (D, anti-codon, and T loops). Further hydrogen bonds mediate the characteristic L-shaped molecular structure. tRNAs have two regions of fundamental functional importance: the anti-codon, which is responsible for specific mRNA codon recognition, and the 3' end, to which the tRNAs corresponding amino acid is attached (by aminoacyl-tRNA synthetases). tRNAs cope with the degeneracy of the genetic code in two manners: having more than one tRNA (with a specific anti-codon) for a particular amino acid; and 'wobble' base-pairing, i.e. permitting non-standard base-pairing at the 3rd anti-codon position. The record is from Rfam by way of RNAcentral. Lineage: Eukaryota; Viridiplantae; Streptophyta; Magnoliopsida; Amborellales; Amborellaceae.